AAGCGUAUGGCCUCCAUCUUGCCAGCAGUGAUGAAUCCAAGCUGCCGUCGGGAAGAGGCCCGGCCGGAGCUGAGGUCCUCCAGGCCAGCGACCUGUGGGGAGCUGAAUUCUGCCAGCAACCAUGUGAGUUGGGAAGCAACUCUCCCCCAGUGGUGCUUACGCGUGAGACUGCAGAGCCUGUUCUCACGCCCUGAUUGUAGCCUUGUCAAAGACAUGAGAGUUUGGCCAGGCUCGGUGGCUCAUGCCUGUAAUCCCAGCACUUUGGGAGGCUAGAGUGGGCAGAUCACAUGAGGUCAGGAGUUCAAGACCAGCCUGGUGAAACCCCUUCUGUACUACAAAUGCAAAAAUUAGUUGGCCGUGGUGGCAGGCACCUCUAGUCCCAGCUACUCGGGAGGCUGAGGCAGGAGAAUCGCUUGAACCCAGGAGACGGAGGUUGCAGUGAGCCGAGAUCACACCACUGCACUCCAGCCUGGGUGACAAGAACAAGACUCCAUCUCAAAAAAAAAAAAAAACACACCCUAGAGCAAAGAACCCAUCUACACUGAAUAGCCUCCUGCCCCACAGAUACCAGAAAUCAUAAGUGUGUUUUGCUGUAAGACUCUAAGUAUCGGGCUAAUUUAUUUUGCAGCAAUAGACAACGAAUCCACCAGGCAACAAAUAGCAAAGACAAGAAGAAGAAUUAGUGGUAGAGUAUAGAGAUGUGUUUGUAUACUGAGCACCUACUAUGUGCCAGUCACUGUGUUAAGUACUGCACAGGCUUUGCCUUAUUUAUUCCUCACGUGAACUAUAGUCAUGCUUUAGUCACCUUUUACAGAUGAAGAAACUGAGGCUCAGAAAGGCCAAAAUGACUGGGAGGCUCCAGAGCAAGGCCCAGAGCCUGGCUCUGAGCUAAGGGCUGGUGGGAGAGGCAGGAGGUGACCCAGGAGCACCCACCCCACUUUCUGUUUUCCUCCCAGAUCCACUGUCAUCCACAUCCUUCUUCUCUUUGGGUACAGACACCCUUCAUGUUGUCACAUAGUGAUCACGUGGACAUAAAUGCACCUGCAAUAUGUUUAUGCCGACAAACUUCCCAGAAACGUAACAUCCAUUUUACCUGCACUUUUAAUAAGCAUUUAAUUCCUUCAAUUGUCUGGUGGUCCAUUUGCAGGAGAAACUGAACUACCUGAUCAUUUCUCACUUCACCUGCCGUAUGAGAAAGAGAUUCAAUUAGAAAAAUCUAUUGCUAAUUUGAAAGCUCUGAUUCUAUAAUUUCCUACAGGGAAGACAUGUAAAUUGCGUGUUAUUUAACACCCUUUCAUGGCAGGUGAGUUCCGCGGGGGGCAAUUAUAAUCCGCUCUCCACUCGUCUUACAGAUUCCUGACAAGCGGGGAGGAGGGAAGAGGGAGAAGGAGGAGGAGGGAGAACAGGAGAGCAUUUUGAAGGCUGGCUCCAAGUGGCUUUAGGAACCCAUGAAUUUAAAGGGCUUAAGCAGGUUGGUGCCUGCCGAGGGGCUGCCUGGGAACCCAGGCCAGACCCCACCCCCUUCAACUCUACAAGUCCUCUGGCCUUUCCCUAAGCAUCUGGAAAAUCACCGUGGCAGGGGGAGGGGGAGAGGGGUCAGGAUGCCAUGAUCCAUACUCCAGCCUUUGUCACCAGCUGUGUGGCACACAGCUGUCCCUUAAUCUCUCUGGCCCUGGUCUCCAUCUGUGCAAUGGGAAAACAUAACACUCCGCAGCCUGAGCUGCUGGGAGGACCAAACCCAGUAUCAAGUGUAAAACACAAAAGGGGACUUCACAAACUACAGAGCACUGUCCCCUGGCGAAGAGCACUAGCACUGGGAGCCGGACCUUAAAGCACCCACUCAGCAUCUCCCGCCCCACAAACUCCCUAGAAGGUUUUUCUCUAGUCGGACCUGAAUCUUUCUGGCUAAGGGUUUUUCAAGAUGAAACUAUUUCUUCCUACACAAUUAUAGCAAACAAGCUCUUUGUAGCACCCCCCUACACACACACACACACACACACACACACAUAUACACACCCGUGCACACACACAUGCAUGCACCAGGCACCCCUGGGUACAUGUCUCUGGAAGAAUGUUUCAGAAGCCAAGGGGUCUCUGGAGGCCUCUAGGGUGGGGAGCUGGGGAGGGAGGAAGCAGAGAGACCUAGUUUUUACCAAAAGCUUUUUGUAUAGCUUAGAUUUCUUCCCUCCUUCCUUUCCAUCGGAUGCACCCAUUACCUAUUCAAAAGCAUUCUUUCGUACUUUUAUACAUGUAUUCACUUUUUUUUUUUUUGACACAGAGUCUCUCACUGUCACCCGGGCUGGAGUGCAAUGGCUCAAUCUCACCUCACUGCAACCUCUGCCUCCCAGGGUCACUCGAUUCUCCUGCCUCAGCCCCCCAAGUAGUAACACUGUCACCCAGGCUGGAGUGCAAUGGCUCAAUCUCACCUCACUGCAACCGCCCGCCUCCUGGGGUUACAGGCGUACCCCACCACACCCGAUUAUUUUUUGUAUUUUUAGUAGAGACAGGUUUCACUAUGUUGGCCAGACUGGUCUCAAACUCCUGACCUCAUGAUCCACCUACCACAGCCUCCCAAAGUGCUGGGAUUACAGGUGUGAGCCACUGCGCCUGGCCCAUUUAUUCACUUUUAACAAAUGAAACAUCUGACCCCUGGCUCUUCCCUCUGUCUGCCCACCCUGGACCCCUAGCUUCCUGGCCUCCUCGGCCUCCUGCAGUCAUUCAGAACUCCUUGUUCCAGCACCUGCCCUCGCCAGACCCGGACCAGACUCCCCUUGAAGCUGGCAACCUGGAGCUGGUUCUAGAGGGAAGAGCAAAAGUGGCGCUGCUCCUUUCAGGGAGCUGUGAGCAGACACACCCCCAAACCCAAAUGCCCUUGCAUGGGGCGCCCUGCCGCCCAGCGGCCCUCCUUGCAGGCCCCACUGGCAGGCGGACGGGGGCGGGCGCCACCUGCUGGACACAAGUGAGAAGUGCACGCGGGUGCCUACUCUGAACUUGGUCCUUCCAGACUGAGUCCGGCUCGGGUCGCCAGCCCCAGGCGGUGUAUCCCGGGCUCCUGCCGGGGAGGCAACAUCCUCCUCCCCACAAGUUCAUCCCAACAGCUGCUUCAGGUGUUUUUCCCAGACGUGACGUUUUUACAUGUUAGAGGUGUGUCAGACUAAAAAUCUCCAUUCACUCCCCAAAUGUGCACCAAGCCAGAACAGUGACGUGGUGACCAACAAGAUAUUCAUGAUCCCGGCAGGCUCUGAGGACCGGAGGCUGAGAUUAAAUAACGUAUUACACAAAGAACCAUUUAACUGCAAGCACAACCUCCCUUAAUGGGGAAGGAGAGAACGGAGCGUGGGUUAAGUUGAUCUCCUCACCAGACAGAGGAGGCUCAGAGAGGUGGAGUGACUCCCCUAACAUCACACAGCAAGAGAAGAUGGGGCUCAGAUAGGGACCCGGUUGUCCAGGUCCCAGGAGGCUGGGAAGGUGCAGGUCCCUGGUAGACCCACUGCUAAUUUGCAGAAAUAGCCUCCAACCCCCCCCCCCACCAAGGGCCCAGGGAGGAGCUGUUUGCCCAAAGGCUUCUUUCAGCAGGUUCCAACCACUGCUAGGGGUUAGACAAGGCCCCCCGCAAGAGCUGCAGUCUCCUUUGCGUAAAGGGACAAGCAGACAGAACGGAGCCCUCAGACACUGUCCCUGAGAAGACAACCUUCCUCUGCUCACCUCCCUUUUCAGCAAACUAGCCCCCCAUCCUUCAUGACAGAAGAAGGCCUGCAGUAAAAUGUAGCACACCUGGGCCACUACAAAUUGCCAUCUCCUCCCCAGCCUCAGUUUCCCUGCCUGUCUGUAUAAUGAGAGGUCAAAACAGAUGGUCUAAAGGUCAAGGUUCACCUAAGUGCGGUAACCCUCUCUUCCCACCUCCCUUCAUCAACCAGUGCAGAGAUGUACAUGAUUCUCCGCAGUGCUGGAUGUCCUCAGUUUCCCCAAAAUGACCUGGCUUUGGGAGACAAGGCUGAAAUGACGUGGUGACUGUGGAGGCCAACAGGACUCCCUGGCCACUUGUCUGCUCGAGGAGGUAGCCAGCAGGACAGCUUACCAUCCCUUGGGAGGGUGAUGCAAUCCAUGGGCAGCUGGGAGGGCCCCUGGGCAGGACCCCUCCCUGUCUGAGUUUUGGGCCCUCUCUGUGACCUGCAGACUCUCCCUGAGCUGGAAUCGAAAGUCUCCUGUGGGUGAAUCCUGCACUUCUCUAAACGUGGUGGAAAGGGCAGGGCAGGUUCAAGUCCAGCUCCCAACCUGCCACUGCCGUUUUCUUUUUUCUUUUCUUUCUUUCUCUCUUUCUUUUUCUUCUUUCUUUCCUCCCUCUCUCCCUUUCUCUCUCUCCCUUCCUUUCUUCCUCUCUCCCUCUCUUCCUCCUUUCUUUCGAUGGAGUUUUGCUCUUGUUGCCUAGUAUGAAGUGCAGUGGUGCCACCUCAGCUCACUGCAACCUCUGCCUCCCAGGUUCAAGCAAUUCUUCUGCCUCAGCCUCCCAAGUAGUUGGGAUUACAGGCAUGCACCACCACGCCUGGCUACUUUUUUAUUUUUACUUAUUUAUUUUUGUGAGACAGAGUCUCACUUUGUCACCCAAGCUGGAGUGCAAUGGCAUGAUCUCAGCUCACUGAAACCUCCACCCACUGGGUUCAAGAGAUUCUCCUGCCUAAGUCUCCCAAGUAACUGGGAUUACAGGCACCUGCCACCGCACCUGGCUAAUUUUUCUAUUUUUAGUAGAGACAGGGUUUCACCAUCUUGGCCAGGCUGGUCUUGAACUCCUGACCUCGUGAUCCACGACGCCCAGCACCGCCACUGCUGUUUUCAAAGGCUUGUGCCCUUGGGCAGGUAACCUCACUGGCCCACUGGUGUCCUGUCUCUUUGUUCCCACGCAGAUGUUGGUGACACCUGCCUCCCAGGUUAUGGCAAGUGAGAUGAGAUAAUCCCAUCAGCAGAAGGCAGAGUGCCUUGAGGGCAUUGGCACUCAGAGAUUUAACCCUGAUCGUGAUGGCUGCUCAGGCUGGCCUGUGUCAGCCUCCCCAAAUGAUGAAUGAAGAAUGGAUGGGAAAGCAAGGCACGGUGGCUCACACCUGUAAUCCCAGCACUUUGGGAGGCUGAGGUGGGUGGAUCACCUGAGGUCAGGAGUUCGAGACCAGCCUGACCAACAUGGUGAAACCCCAUCUCUACUAAAUACAAAAAAGUAGCCAGGCGUGGUGGCGCAUGCCUGUAAUCCCAACUACUUGGGAUGCUGAGGCAGAAGAAUUGCUUGAACCUGGGAGGCAGAGGUUGCAGUGAGCCAGGAUCGUACCAUUGCACUCCAGCCUGGGCACCAAGAGCAAAACUCCAUCGAAAGAAAGGAGGAAGAGAGGGAGGAAGGAAGGGAGGGAGAGAAAGGGCGAGAGGGAGGAAAGAAGGAAAAGAAAGAAAAAAAAGGAAGGAAGGAGCUAGGGAGGAAGGGAGGGAGGAGGGGAAGGAGUGAAGAAGGAAGGAAAGAAAGGAAGGAAGGAAGGGCAAACUUGGACCUUGGAAAUGCUUGGUUCUCUUGCGUCUGUGACUUCACUUAACCCCCACAAAACCCCUGCUUACAUCAUUUUACGCUUGGGGAAACCGAGGCUCAGAGAAGGGAAACACAUUCCCAGUGUCACGCAGUGCUGGGUUCCAGCUGGGCAGUCUUAGAAUCAAAGCCCGGUCUCCGGGGAGGGAAAGCUGCAAUUCGUCAGGGGAACAGCCUGGGCCACCGGGGCCGCGUUUCGCUGGAAAAUCACUCCCUUCUCAUCACAGCCGGCACCUCCCGACCUCGGCCACACGGGGGCAGCAGCGCCUCGGCCACGGCCGGGCCUCGCGCUGUUUCUUCGUGCUGGGAACGCCCGGGCGGCUGCGGCGGCAGAGUUCCAAGCAGGAAGGGGCCACGUCAGGGACCUCUAGGGUCUGCGAGGGGCCCGGGCUUGGUCCCGCCGCCCGGCUGCCUUCGUGCAUGGAGGUCGGCUGUAUGUUAGCCCCAGACCUGUCUGUCUGGCUGUGUGAUCCAGCUUCUCUGGAGCGACCUGGCCAGGCCAGUGGACCACGUGGCCGCCUCUGCCAGCCCCCAGGGGCGACUCAGUGGACUUAACGCCCCCACCUACCUGAUCAAGGCCCGAGUUUGUCAAGCCACCUGGCCCUCUGGAGACACCAGGAAACAAAGUCAGCAGUUCCCCAUGAGCCAGGCUGGGGAAACAGCCUUCCAGGAGGGGCGACCAAGGCCCCCACCCAGCCGACCACCUGCCCGCCCUCAGGAACACCAUCACAGUCCAGGGCAGCCGCCCUCUGCGGGAGGGAAGACAGCCUCGGGCAUGGAUGACAACAGAUUACUUUUUGGGGAGAUUCACUUUUUCUCCUCUGUAAAAAUAGGCCCACCUUUCAGGAUGACGAAAAUCGGUUUGAACCACAUCUGGGUGUGCCUUCGGAUUGAGUUGCGCACUACAGAUUGCCACAGGCUUCGCGGCUCCCUGCUGCAUCCCCAGCUCUGCGGACCCAGUCUCCUUGAAUCGGCCCAUUCUUUCAUUAUGUGGAACUAAUGAAGGCCUCGCGGAGUCCCUGCUCAGGAAUAGGGCCCUUAAAUAAAACAUGUUUCAUUGAUCAACUU
Callithrix jacchus (white-tufted-ear marmoset) is the source of this 6628-nucleotide non-coding RNA. NCBI's taxonomy places the organism in Eukaryota, Metazoa, Chordata, Mammalia, Primates, Cebidae. The record is from RefSeq and is a predicted model, not a curated record.